This 280-nucleotide long non-coding RNA is filed under the name Populus tremula. RNAcentral describes it as "long non-coding RNA (PTRE_LNC003078)". The record is from RNAcentral. Lineage: Eukaryota; Viridiplantae; Streptophyta; Magnoliopsida; Malpighiales; Salicaceae.
UCAUUUAUACCCUCUCUUUAAGCCACCAAGGGCUUUAUUGUAUUUUCCAAUCUUUUUAAUACAAAACAUCACAAUCUCCCCACCUUAUAAAAGUUUCGUCCUCGAAACUUAAUAGAAAAGAUUAAAUACUUACCGAGAUUAUCGAAACGAUGAGGAUACUGCCGACCUCCCUGUCCUCUGUUAGGACCUGUAUCAGACCGCUGAUGAAAAGAGAACUGAUUUUCCACCUUUGGCCUCUUGACCGAACCCACUGAUAAUUCAUCCUCUAACUCUCGUGCCU